This is a long non-coding RNA of Dreissena polymorpha, 848 nucleotides long. RefSeq lists it as uncharacterized. The record is from RefSeq and is a predicted model, not a curated record. The transcript has 3 exons. Lineage: Eukaryota; Metazoa; Mollusca; Bivalvia; Myida; Dreissenidae.
UAUAAAUUUACCAUAAACAUAAAGGUUAGCAGACACCAAUGUCAAACUUGUUUUGUCAUUUUCACAGUUUUCAUUUCCAUGUACAUCUAAUAUGGUUCGACAAAAGAACUUCAUCAGCCAAGGGAAUGCCACAGUCUUCGGGGAAGAAAACAUGGCUGCAUCUGGAGAGAACUUAAAGAUCUUAAAUUAAAGAUGACUGCAAAGUAAGAAAGCCCAUAAGCUUGACAUUGAUGUCAAUAGAUGCUACAAAGUGGUUCACUUCUGCAAGAUUCUACACAUCCAUGUUCUCAACAAGAUAUUGUUCCCAAACAGUCGAUACUUACAGAUAAUUCUUACUCACUUUAAGAUCAAAACCGUCGGUGGAUACCGUAAUCCUGACAAGUAAACAAAGAUGAGAAGCUAUUUAUCAUACGUGAUAUGGAGAGUCCUUAGUUAAUCUGCACUAAUCGGAGCAAAUUAUAAGCUACAUUUGUUCGAGUGGACAGAAACCAACGCGUUUAUCUUGUAAUCUAAAAGUGCUCAGUUUAAAAAUUAUUAUAGGGCGGUUAACUGCAUUGCUUGUAAAACUUGGUUGACAAAUUAAAUAGUUGCAAAAUUUUGCCCGGAUCUUCGACUUCAAUCUGAAAAAGCCAUAUAUACAUGAACAUAAUAAUCUGCAAUUCUGUCGUGUGUGUUUCUUUUCCCAUAGUAAAAAUGUAUUCGAAUAGUAAAGCUUAAUGCGAGUGAACUCGUUUAUAUUCGAGGGUGAAGAUAGCUUACUUAUAGCCCUCUACUGCUUGAUAACCCAAGCUAAAAUAAGUCGGACUUUGCUGAUUCAAGCCGAAAUAGGUCACAGUUUGCAACUUCGA